Molecule: ribosomal RNA, 497 nt
Filed under: uncultured bacterium
Lineage: Bacteria
Description: partial 16S ribosomal RNA
Rfam family: Bacterial small subunit ribosomal RNA
Source: RNAcentral
GAUGAACGCUGGCGGCGUGCCUAAUACAUGCGAGUCGAGCGAACGGACGAGAAGCUUGCUUCUCUGAUGUUAGCGGCGGACGGGUGAGUAACACGUGGAUAACCUACCUAUAAGACUGGGAUAACUUCGGGAAACCGUAGCUAAUACCGGAUAAUAUUUUGAACCGCAUGGUUCAAAAGUGAAAGACGGUCUUGCUGUCACUUAUAGAUGGAUCCGCGCUGCAUUAGCUAGUUGGUAAGGUAAAGGCUUACCAAGGCAACGAUGCAUAGCCGACCUGAGAGGGUGAUCGGCCACACUGGAACUGAGACACGGUCCAGACUCCUACGGGAGGCAGCAGUAGGGAAUCUUCCGCAAUGGGCGAAAGCCUGACGGAGCAACGCCGCGUGAGUGAUGAAGGUCUUCGGAUCGUAAAACUCUGUUAUUAGGGAAGAACAUAUGUGUAAGUAACUGUGCACAUCUUGACGGUACCUAAUCAGAAAGCCACGGCUAACUACGUG